RNAcentral lists this ribosomal RNA (369 nucleotides) under uncultured organism. RNAcentral describes it as "partial 16S ribosomal RNA". It matches the Rfam family "Bacterial small subunit ribosomal RNA", at positions 527 to 896 of the family's 1533-position model. The record is from RNAcentral.
GAAGGGAGCUAGCGUUGUUCGGAAUCACUGGGCGUAAAGCGCACGUAGGCGGAUUUGUUAGUCAGGGGUGAAAUCCCGGGGCUCAACCUCGGAACUGCCUUUGAUACUGCAAGUCUGGAGUCCGGAAGAGGUGGGUGGAAUUCCUAGUGUAGAGGUGAAAUUCGUAGAUAUUAGGAAGAACACCGGUGGCGAAGGCGGCCCACUGGUCCGGUACUGACGCUGAGGUGCGAAAGCGUGGGGAGCAAGCAGGAUUAGAUACCCUGGUAGUCCACGCCAUAAACGAUGGAUGCUAGCUGUCGGCAAGCUUGCUUGUCGGUGGCGCAGCUAACGCAUUAAGCAUCCCCGCCUGGGAGUACGGCCGCAAGGUUA